UACGUAGGGGGCGAGCGUUGUUCGGAAUUACUGGGCGUAAAGAGUGUGUAGGCGGUGCUCUAAGUCUGUUGUGAAAUCUCCCGGCUUAACCGGGAGGGUGCGGCGGAAACUGGAGUGCUUGAGGGUGGGAGAGGUAAGCGGAAUUCCUGGUGUAGCGGUGAAAUGCGUAGAUAUCAGGAGGAACACCUGUGGUGUAGACAGCUUACUGGACCACUUCUGACGCUGAGACACGAAAGCGUGGGUAGCAAACAGG
Molecule: ribosomal RNA, 253 nt
Filed under: uncultured bacterium
Lineage: Bacteria
Description: partial 16S ribosomal RNA
Rfam family: Bacterial small subunit ribosomal RNA
Source: RNAcentral